CCCAUGGAUUACGUGUUGGUUGCACGGAGAGAGAGAGAGGGAGAAUUCAAUCGGCAACCCAUGGAUGAUCUUUCGGUCAAACUCGCAGAUCCAUGUUCGAUCCUUCAAUUUCUGAGCUAAACAUUGAUCCAAUUCCCAGAUCCACAAGAAGGAAACGUAAAGACUCGGUUUGUGCCUCAAAAAUAUACUCUCUUCUCUGUUGUGUGCUUGAAUGCCUCGGAUCUGCGACUCUUGAUUGCUGAAAAUUAGGGUUUAGGUGCUCUUGAAGAUGCCCACCCUGAUUUUUUUACACCAAGUGCAAAUGGCAACCCAGGCAUUCCAACUUACCCAGGGAAAUACUGCAUUUAAGGAAAAGCCUGAAAUAAUGUUGUCAAGUGCUAUACUGAAGCUAUCAGAUUGAACAUGAUGUGUGCAACUUAUGAUUGCAUCCGUGCAACUGCUUACUUGGAGUUGGGUGCAGUGGCGGAUCCAGGAAUCUUACCCCAAGGGGUCGCAGUGUAAAAGUUCAAAUAAAAAUUUAGGAUGGAAAAACAUAUUGAAAAUGAAAUCAUAGUACUUUCAUUCAUAAUUCAUAAUGGAAACAAUAUUACAAACUA
Molecule: non-coding RNA, 596 nt
Organism: Malus domestica (apple)
Lineage: Eukaryota; Viridiplantae; Streptophyta; Magnoliopsida; Rosales; Rosaceae
Source: RefSeq, a predicted model, not a curated record